This 515-nucleotide ribosomal RNA is filed under the name uncultured bacterium. RNAcentral describes it as "partial 16S ribosomal RNA". It matches the Rfam family "Bacterial small subunit ribosomal RNA", at positions 28 to 523 of the family's 1533-position model. The record is from RNAcentral.
GAUGAACGCUGGCGGCGUGCCUAAUACAUGCAAGUCGAGCGAAUGGAUUAAGAGCUUGCUCUUAUGAAGUUAGCGGCGGACGGGUGAGUAACACGUGGGUAACCUGCCCAUAAGACUGGGAUAACUCCGGGAAACCGGGGCUAAUACCGGAUAACAUUUUGAACCGCAUGGUUCGAAAUUGAAAGGCGGCUUCGGCUGUCACUUAUGGAUGGACCCGCGUCGCAUUAGCGAGUUGGUGAGGUAACGGCUCACCAAGGCAACGAUGCGUAGCCGACCUGAGAGGGUGAUCGGCCAAACUGGGACUGAGACACGGCCCAGACUCCUACGGGAGGCAGCAGUAGGGAAUCUUCCGCAAUGGACGAAAGUCUGACGGAGCAACGCCGCGUGAGUGAUGAAGGCUUUCGGGUCGUAAAACUCUGUUGUUGGGGAAGAACAAGUGCUAGUUGAAUAAGCUGGCACCUUGACGGUACCUAACCAGAAAGCCACGGCUAACUACGUGCCAGCCGCCGCCGUAA